RNAcentral lists this ribosomal RNA (723 nucleotides) under Vibrio sp. 1D06. RNAcentral's name for it is "bacterial SSU rRNA". It matches the Rfam family "Bacterial small subunit ribosomal RNA", at positions 33 to 735 of the family's 1533-position model. RNAcentral also lists the same sequence under 1 other name. Lineage: Bacteria; Pseudomonadati; Pseudomonadota; Gammaproteobacteria; Vibrionales; Vibrionaceae. The record is from RNAcentral.
ACGCUGGCGGCAGGCCUAACACAUGCAAGUCGAGCGGAAACGACACUAACAAUCCUUCGGGUGCGUUAAUGGGCGUCGAGCGGCGGACGGGUGAGUAAUGCCUAGGAAAUUGCCUUGAUGUGGGGGAUAACCAUUGGAAACGAUGGCUAAUACCGCAUAAUGCCUACGGGCCAAAGAGGGGGAYCUUCGGRCCUCUCGCGUCAAGAUAUGCCUAGGUGGGAUUAGCUAGUUGGUGAGGUAAUGGCUCACCAAGGCGACGAUCCCUAGCUGGUCUGAGAGGAUGAUCAGCCACACUGGAACUGAGACACGGUCCAGACUCCUACGGGAGGCAGCAGUGGGGAAUAUUGCACAAUGGGCGAAAGCCUGAUGCAGCCAUGCCGCGUGUAUGAAGAAGGCCUUCGGGUUGUAAAGUACUUUCAGUUGUGAGGAAGGGKGURWMGUUAAUAGCKUYAUCUCUUGACGUUAGCAACAGAAGAAGCACCGGCUAACUCCGUGCCAGCAGCCGCGGUAAUACGGAGGGUGCGAGCGUUAAUCGGAAUUACUGGGCGUAAAGCGCAUGCAGGUGGUUCAUUAAGUCAGAUGUGAAAGCCCGGGGCUCAACCUCGGAACUGCAUUUGAAACUGGUGAACUAGAGUGCUGUAGAGGGGGGUAGAAUUUCAGGUGUAGCGGUGAAAUGCGUAGAGAUCUGAAGGAAUACCAGUGGCGAAGGCGGCCCCCUGGACA